AUGCAUUCAAAGAGUGCGUAACAGCUCACUGGUCGAGUGGACAUGCGCCGACAAUUCACGGGGCUAAGCGAUGCGCCGAAGCGGCGGAAUGUAUAUACAUUGGUAGGGGAGCUUCCCCUGCGCGGCGAAGCCGGAGGGCGACCGACGGUGGAGCGCAGGGGAGUGAGGAUGCUGGCAUGAGUAACGAGAGCGGCGCGGGAAACGCCGCCGCCGUAAGCCCAAGGUUUCCUGGGCAAGGCUAAUCCUCCCAGGGUCAGUCGGGAGCUAAGGUGAGGCCGGAAGGCGUAGCCGAUGCGCAACAGGCGGACAUUCCUGUACCGCCUCGGGACCGCUACGACCGAAGGGGCGACGGAGAAGGGUACGCAGGCGGGGUUCUGGACGCCCCCGUGAAAGCAUGUAGGCCGCAGGGCAGGCAAAUCCGCCCUGCGCACAAGGCCGAGACGCGAGACGAAGCCGCAUGGCGAAGCUGCGGAGCCCACGCUCCCUGGAAAAACCCCUAGGCAGGGCCCGAGGCGCCCGUACCAAAACCGACACAGGUGGGCGGGUAGAGCAUACCGAGGCGAUCGGGGGAACCAUGGUCAAGGAACUCGGCAUAAUCGCUCCGUAACUUCGGGAGAAGGAGUGCCGCUGCAGGUGGAGGGACUUUGCUCCCCGAGCCCGCGGCGGCCGCAGCGAAACGGCCCAAGCGACUGUUUACCAAAAACACAGGACUCUGCCAACCCGCGAGGGGAAGUAUAGGGUCUGACGCCUGCCCGGUGCCGGAAGGUUACGCGGAUGCGUUAGCGAAAGCGAAGCGCUGAAGCCAAGCCCCGGUAAACGGCGGCCGUAACUAUAACGGUCCUAAGGUAGCGAAAUUCCUUGUCGGGUAAGUUCCGACCUGCACGAACGGCGUAACGACUUGGGCGCUGUCUCGACCAUGGACCCGGUGAAAUUGCACUAUUCGUGAAGAUGCGAAUUACCUGCGGAAGGACGGAAAGACCCCGUGAACCUUCACUGCAGCUUGGCAUUGGCCGUUGGCUCGGCGCGUAGAGGAUAGGCAGGAGGCAUCGAAACCGGGGCGCCAGCCCCGGCGGAGCCGCCCUUGGAAUACUGCCCCCUCCGUUCCGGCGGCCUAACGCGGCGCCUUUCAUCAGGGCCGCGGACCGUGCCAGGCGGGUAGUUUGACUGGGGCGGUCGCCUCCCAAAGAGUAACGGAGGCGCGCAAAGGUUGGCUCAGGACGGUCGGCAACCGUCCCGAGAGCGCAAGAGUGCAAGCCAGCUUGACUGCGAGGCGGACGGGCCGAGCAGGUGCGAAAGCAGGCUCUAGUGAUCCGGCGGCCCAGAGUGGAAUGGCCGUCGCUCAACGGAUAAAAGGUACUCCGGGGAUAACAGGCUGAUCUUGCCCA
This 1385-nucleotide ribosomal RNA is filed under the name human gut metagenome. Its description in RNAcentral is "bacterial LSU rRNA". It matches the Rfam family "Bacterial large subunit ribosomal RNA", at positions 1118 to 2494 of the family's 2925-position model. The record is from RNAcentral.